CGUCAAAUCAUCAUGCCCCUUAUGACCUGGGCUACACACGUGCUACAAUGGUUGGUACAACGGGACGCUACCUCGCGAGAGGAUGCCAAUCUCUGAAAACCAAUCUCAGUUCGGAUUGUAGGCUGCAACUCGCCUACAUGAAGUCGGAAUCGCUAGUAAUCGCGGAUCAGCAUGCCGCGGUGAAUACGUUCCCGGGCCUU
This 200-nucleotide ribosomal RNA is filed under the name uncultured organism. RNAcentral describes it as "partial small subunit ribosomal RNA". It matches the Rfam family "Bacterial small subunit ribosomal RNA", at positions 1183 to 1382 of the family's 1533-position model. The record is from RNAcentral.